Molecule: ribosomal RNA, 387 nt
Filed under: uncultured Prochlorococcus sp.
Lineage: Bacteria; Bacillati; Cyanobacteriota; Cyanophyceae; Synechococcales; Prochlorococcaceae
Description: bacterial SSU rRNA
Rfam family: Bacterial small subunit ribosomal RNA
Source: RNAcentral
GAGGGGGAUAACGGUUGGAAACGACCGCCCUUACCCCAUAUGCCGAAAGGUGAAAUGAAUUUCGCCUGAGGACGAGCCCGCGUCUGAUUAGCUUGUUGGUAAGGUAAAGGCUUACCAAGGCUUCGAUCAGUAGCUGGUCUGAGAGGAUGAUCAGCCACACUGGGACUGAGACACGGCCCAGACUCCUACGGGAGGCAGCAGUGGGGAAUUUUCCGCAAUGGGCGAAAGCCUGACGGAGCAACGCCGCGUGAGGGACGAAGGCCUCUGGGCUGUAAACCUCUUUUCUCAAGGAAGAAGAUAUGACGGUACUUGAGGAAUAAGCCACGGCUAAUUCCGUGCCAGCAGCCGCGGUAAUACGGGAGUGGUAAGCGUUAUCCGGAAUUAUUG